Molecule: ribosomal RNA, 254 nt
Filed under: uncultured bacterium
Lineage: Bacteria
Description: partial 16S ribosomal RNA
Rfam family: Bacterial small subunit ribosomal RNA
Source: RNAcentral
UACAGAGGGGGCAAGCGUUAUUCGGAAUUACUGGGCGUAAAGGGCGCGUAGGCGGCCACCGCAAGUCGACUGUGAAAUCUCCGGGCUUAACCCGGAAAGGUCAGCCGAUACUGCGGGGCUAGAGUGCAGAAGGGGCAACUGGAAUUCUCGGUGUAGCGGUGAAAUGCGUAGAUAUCGAGAGGAACACCUGCGGCGAAGGCGGGUUGCUGGGCUGACACUGACGCUGAGGCGCGAAAGCUAGGGGAGCGAACGGG